Molecule: ribosomal RNA, 138 nt
Filed under: Mustela putorius furo (domestic ferret)
Lineage: Eukaryota; Metazoa; Chordata; Mammalia; Carnivora; Mustelidae
Source: RNAcentral
ACAGUUGUCUAUGGCCCUGAAUGUGCCCGAUCUUGUCUGAUCUCGUAAGCUAAGCAGGUUGGGCCUGGUUAGUACUUGGAUGGGAGAUCACUGUCCCUGUGCUUUCUACUGCCUCGAGUGACAUAGCUGUUGACUGGU